RNAcentral lists this transfer RNA (57 nucleotides) under Tetranychus ludeni (bean spider mite). Its description in RNAcentral is "tRNA-Gly". Lineage: Eukaryota; Metazoa; Arthropoda; Arachnida; Trombidiformes; Tetranychidae. The record is from RNAcentral.
AUUUUCUAAAUACCCCCCCCGUAUAUUCAAUUUCCAAUUGAAAAGUAAAAGAAAAUA